AAGGAAAAAAAAAAAAAAAAGAAGGAAAGAGAGAUUCUUGACAGUUAUGUAUCAUAUACAUGUCAAUUAAUGGUGUAUAGUAACCUACAAAGCUUUUGCAUCUCCUGGAAAGCAAAUCGGUGAUUACAGACCACAGGUUUACUUGUGUUUUCCAAGUCUUCCGAACUAUGCUCAACUGCAUUAUCCUUGGUGAAUGCCCUACUUCAAUGUUAAUGUCCUGACUAGGGGUAGAUAUGCCGUGGGAUGUAGCGGCUCUGAGGUUGUGCCUUCGUACCUUGGAUUGGAAACAAAGCAGAACUAAUCUGUCAUUGUGAAAGAAAUACUCCUUGUGUGUAGGGAAGAGUAGUUUUCGGUUUUAACCGAAAAAUUGAAUCGAAUCGAGUCAAUUCGGUUCAAUCGGUUUGGUUCGGUUUAUCAUUUUUUAUAAUUUUCGUUAAUUGGUUCGGUUCGAUUAUUUUCACAAAAAAUCAAAAAAAA
RNAcentral lists this unclassified non-coding RNA (477 nucleotides) under Hevea brasiliensis (rubber tree). The record is from RNAcentral. Lineage: Eukaryota; Viridiplantae; Streptophyta; Magnoliopsida; Malpighiales; Euphorbiaceae.